Molecule: ribosomal RNA, 207 nt
Filed under: uncultured bacterium
Lineage: Bacteria
Description: partial 16S ribosomal RNA
Rfam family: Bacterial small subunit ribosomal RNA
Source: RNAcentral
CGCGUAGGCGGCCUGGUAAGUAGGGGGUGAAAUCCUGCGGCUUAACCGCAGGGCUGCCUUCUAAACUGUCAGGCUUGAGCACGGUAGAGGCAGAUGGAAUUCCCGGUGUAGCGGUGGAAUGCGUAGAGAUCGGGAAGAACAUCAGUGGCGAAGGCGGUCUGCUGGGCCGUUGCUGACGCUGAGGCGCGACAGCGUGGGGAGCAAACA